RNAcentral lists this ribosomal RNA (543 nucleotides) under uncultured bacterium. RNAcentral's name for it is "bacterial SSU rRNA". It matches the Rfam family "Bacterial small subunit ribosomal RNA", at positions 340 to 872 of the family's 1533-position model. The record is from RNAcentral.
UACGGGGGAGCAGCAGUGAGGAAUUUUGCGCAAUGGGGGAAACCCUGACGCAGCAACGCCGCGUGAGUGAAGAAGGCCCUUGGGUCGUAAAGCUCUGUCGACAGGGAAGAAAUUACUUCGUAUUAAUAGUAUGUUGUAUUGACGGUACCUGUAGAGGAAGCACCGGCUAACUCCGUGCCAGCAGCCGCGGUAAUACGGGGGGUGCAAGCGUUAUUCGGAAUUAUUGGGCGUAAAGGGCGCGUAGGCGGUUUUGUCGGUCAGAUGUGAAAGCCCGGGGCUCAACCCUGGAAGUGCAUUUGAAACAGCAAGACUUGAAUACUGGAGGGGAGAGCGGAAUUCCUGGUGUAGAGGUGAAAUUCGUAGAUAUCAGGAGGAACACCGAUGGCGAAGGCAGCUCUCUGGACAGAUAUUGACGCUGAGGCGCGAAGGUGUGGGUAGCAAACGGGAUUAGAUACCCCGGUAGUCCACACAGUAAACGUUGUUCACUCGGUGUAGCGGAUAUUAAAAUCUGCUGCGCCCCAGCUAACGCGGUAAGUGAACCGC